UACGUAGGGUGCGAGCGUUAAUCGGAAUUACUGGGCGUAAAGCGUGCGCAGGCGGUGAUGUAAGACCGAUGUGAAAUCCCCGGGCUUAACCUGGGAACUGCAUUGGUGACUGCAUUGCUGGAGUAUGGCAGAGGGGGGUGGAAUUCCACGUGUAGCAGUGAAAUGCGUAGAGAUGUGGAGGAACACCAAGGCGAAGGCAGUCUCCUGGGAGUUACCUGACGCUCAGGCGCGAAAGCCAGGGGAGCGAACGGG
Molecule: ribosomal RNA, 252 nt
Filed under: uncultured bacterium
Lineage: Bacteria
Description: partial 16S ribosomal RNA
Rfam family: Bacterial small subunit ribosomal RNA
Source: RNAcentral